GUGAUGGACCGCCUGGCACCCCGACCAGGUACCUCCAUCAAUCGCUGCUUCCUAGUACUUGUAAGUACCAUUACCACCGUAGAACCCACGAACCGCCGCAGCUUUGUUGGGGUCUAGCCGUCCUCCACCCACCCAGGACCCAAGACCAGGAUCCUGCUUCCAGUGGGUAGACCUCUCCUAGUCCAGAGAGUCAAGCAGGAACAGCUCUUAUAAGAGCAAGUGAUUAUACUCAGGGGAGUAUUGUGAUAUAGCAAUCCCCAGAGUGAAUGUAAUUCUUCAAUUCCCCAAACAUGAGCUAAGACUUCAUGAAGGGAUAAACAAAUCCCUCUUUAAUGGGAGCCACACUGGCCUUUUAUGCAAGUCCCUAAGCAAGGUGUACACCCACAUGGACAGGUGGGGACAGGGCAGAAACUUACAAACCAGAUUCCAUAGCGCUGUACAAUAAUAACACAUUUACAAUGUAAGGCACUCCCAUACACAGCACACAAUCCCUCCCAUCUGCUUGGGAGAUAAUUGGAUCAGUAACUGUACUAAUUCUAAUCCAAUUAUCUCCAAGCACAGAAAAAAUGCCCCAAAAGUACCCCAAAGAUACAUAAAACUCCAUAAAUGUUACAUUCCCUGAUAGCCCUCAUCUGGGUGACCAACAUAUCCAAAAAUCACCCAGCUCAGUUUAGGGGUUCAGGAAUUUCCUGGAAGUCUUAUUUGUGACCAACCGUGCACAUGGUCCUAUGCCCAAAACAAUUCCUGGGAAUCAGGGCUAACGGUCGGUGUGGUGACAUUCUGUCAUCAAACUAAUAUGGUGACCAGGGAUCACGUGACCAAGCUCUUACAGUGGGAUAAGCUUUACCUUUUGAUAUGGAAAUGGAGUAAUUCAAUACCUUUCAGGAAAAAGAUAACCACUUCCCCCUUUCUCCAUUCCUCUCUGUUCCUUCUUGGCUGUGCUACUGAACAGUCCCUUAAGCAGACAUGGCCUAAUUUCUAUCAUGGUGAACUGUGAGUGGGAUCUGGUGAUUUUAUAAGAUGUAGUUGUUAUCGUUAGUUAGGUUGUUGUUGCUGUUGUUGUUGGUAUAAUUAGAUUGUGUGUCAUUAUUUGUAUGUUGUUGUUGUUUUGUCUCUGAAUAAAUAUUUGUUAAAGUAGACGGACCAGAGUUUAUAUGUGUAUGCGUACAUAAUAAUUUAUAGAGUUUGGUAAUACACCACAGUCGGUCUCUCUGUCUGCAGUACAAAAGUACAUAACUCACAUGAACAGAGCCUUUUAAAGUAUUUUAGCCAGAUCUAUUGCAGGGGCCAUAGUCACAGGGUAGGAGGCUGGCAAACAGGCCCAGAUCUGAGCACAGUAGAUAGGCGAAUAGUGCUCAGAUCUCACGAACGGUAUAGCCAGUCUUUUUCAUACAAAGUCUUUUCGUGCCUUUUUGUCCCGAACACGAGAUGGCGGCCAUGUUUUCAGGCGGGUGAAUAGAGAGCGGGACCUGGCCCUAAAACCCCUGGAGCGAGUAACGGAUAAACAGUUGCGCGAAUACAGUUCAGUGGAUGGUUGUCCCAGCCCUUCGUGAGCCGAACAGAGACCGCCAUGAAGGGGGUACUUAGCUUGCGGUUAACUGCAGACCCAACGUUCUAAUUGGGGCCACACGCCUGAGUGUAGGUGGUCCUCGUUCGGGAGUUUCAGUUCGAUGAAUUAUUAUCCGAACAAGGCCAUCCUGAGGCAGUCAAUUAGGCUUGUGGUUAACCGCAGACCACAGCUCUCAGGUGGUCAAUUGGAAGCACACUUCGCUUGUAAAAUGGUUGGCCGUUCGGUUGUUUCAGAGGUGAAAGAGGUUAAGUGUCGGCACACGCCAAGGGCCGGGUGGUCUUUGUUCGUAUGCACAAAUACAUAGUCCUGACUGUUCGUGUAAUGUGUUUAUCCAGUAAUACUACCGAAACAGAGUAUACGGUACAAUAAAACAAGAUAAUCCAGUAACUAUCUGUAGAGCACCCGUAACAGGGGAGAUUGUCACAGUAAGUGUUCUCUCUGUGUGGUCGUAGUUCGUACAAACGAAUGCCACUUAGUGGAGAAAAAGGCAGCCAUGUUGUCACACGAAAGCAUGCAGCGGGACUCUGUAGUCUAGUGUGGAAACUCUAAAGGUGGAAACUCGACGGCGCGAACACCGGUAAAAAAUGUUUGCGGCAAGCCAGGAGAGCACUAUUCGGUACGUUUGCUCAUAUGGACUUCAUGAACAAAUGCUACCAAUGAGCCAGGGGAACAGUUCCCCUUUUCAUUUGUUUUGGAACUCCCUAACAUGACCAACCAGUGGCGUACACACAACCUAUGGGGCCCCGGUGCGAAAACUGAUCCGUGCUUACUCGGGGGCUGGGGCUGCAACACAAGGUGGCGGGAACUUGGUCGCAGGGGUCGAAGGGCUGCGACCCCUGCGUCCGCGGUAUGUACGCCAGUGCAUGUAGAUACACACACACUUAAAGGACCACUACAGACACCCAGAUCACAUCAGCUCAAUUAAGUGGUCUGGGUGCCAGGACCCUCUAGUUUUAACCCUGCAACUGAAAACAUAGCAAAGAAACUGCAAUGUUUCACUGAGGGUUAAUCCAGCCUCUAGUGGCUGUCUCAUUCACAGCCGCUAGAGGAGCUUCCGCGAUUCUCACUGGGAAAAUCACAGUGAGAAGACACUGAACGUCCAUAGGAAAGUAUUGAGUAAUGCUUUCCUAUGGGCGGUUUGAAUGUGUGCGUGGCUCUUGCCACGCAUGCGCAUUCGGAGCUGAGAGGCGGAUCAGGGCGGAGAGAUCCCCAGCGCUGGAGAAAGGUAAGUGCUUAAGACACACACACACACACACUCUCACGAACAGACGCAUACACACUAGCUAACAGACACACACAUGUACUGACAGAGACACACUCAGCGACAGACAUACAUACACACUCACAAAACAUACACUCACUAACAGACGCACACAAACUAACACACUCAGUAACACUCACUGACACACUAACACUAACACCCACACUCUAAUACUAACACACACUCUAACACAUAGUGCAUCCUGCUGUUAUCUUUUCCAAGUUAAAUGCCGCACACACACCCAGCCAUCCACCUAAUCUAAAUGAAAACAUGAUUUAUCAGACCAAGCAACCUUCUUCCAUUGCUCCAUGGUCUAGCUUCAAACACAGCAAAUUAUGAUACACUGUGUGUUCUGACAUCUUUCUAUCAUGACCAGCAUAACAUUUAUCUAUAUUUAACAUUUCUCUAGUAGCUCUUUUGUGUGAUUGUUGAGGCUUUUGAAAGGUGGUUCCCAGGAGGCAGUAGUAAGUCAAAUGCGAGGUACUGAACAGGGAUGAGAAAACCUGAGUCAGGGAAAGCAGAGGUCAGGGCCAGCAGCACCGGUUCAGAAAUGCAGUCAAGGAUCA
RNAcentral lists this long non-coding RNA (3397 nucleotides) under Pelobates cultripes (western spadefoot toad). The record is from RNAcentral. Lineage: Eukaryota; Metazoa; Chordata; Amphibia; Anura; Pelobatidae.